AUAAUAAUGAUAAAUACUAUUAUUAACAAGUAUUAUUAUUUUUCAACAGGUUGACAGACAUUCACAUUCAUCCUACUAGGAGAUCAGUGUUUCUUGCUCCAUGUUUCUAA
This is a long non-coding RNA of Etheostoma spectabile (orangethroat darter), 110 nucleotides long. RefSeq lists it as uncharacterized. The record is from RefSeq and is a predicted model, not a curated record. Lineage: Eukaryota; Metazoa; Chordata; Actinopteri; Perciformes; Percidae. The transcript is spliced from 2 exons.